CUGCAUUAGCAUGCAGCAAAUCUGCGAGCUCAUAGAGCAGACAGGGCACUGACCCUCUCGUGACUCAUUUCUACACAGCACAAGAUAGCAAAAAUUUCUGGGUUUCCCCAGCAGGCAGCUGUUUCCUGUCGUGACCACCUCAAACCACAGCCGCUCAGAAAUACACACUGUGCUUCUGCGUGCGAUGCUUCUACUCCUUCAGGGAAGGCUCUUAACCCUAGCAGAUGGUUGACCUGCGCUGCCUCACGUGUGGGUAUGUCCUCAUGACAUUGGACUGUCACAUCAGACUGGAGAUUCGGCUGUGAUGAGAAGAGCCUUAAAGCAAGCAGCUGCAUCUCAGACGAGACCUUCACAACCACUGUGCAGAAGUCUUUGACCUCAGUAGAGCAGCAUGCAGUACUCUUCCGUAAUGAGGUGUAUGUUCUGCGGUGUGUAAUAGAGACAUUUUCUCUGCUGAGAAGACUGCUACACAAAUCAGGAAAAAGGAAAUUCAAAAGGACUCACUUCCUUUGCUCCUUUGUUACCCCAACCCUACAUUCCUCUAGGUAACCAUGCUGAGCCCAAAAAAGAAGACAUCUAUGAGUGAAAAAUAGAAUCGGAGAAAAAGCAGUAUGUCAUCUCUGUGCCUGUUAAAUUAAAUAUAAGCAAAUGAUGAACAAAAAUUGUGAUUCAUUAUGCAUGCUAUGACAAAAAGAAUAAUUUAUAAAUUCCAAUUAAUCUGUUAUUUCUUCUGUAAUAAUAAAAUGAAUCAUCGGCUUUUAAUUUUCCA
This 769-nucleotide long non-coding RNA is filed under the name Dromaius novaehollandiae (emu). RNAcentral describes it as "lncRNA (ENSDNVG00000014410.1)". Lineage: Eukaryota; Metazoa; Chordata; Aves; Casuariiformes; Dromaiidae. The record is from RNAcentral.